GACGAACGCUGGCGGCGUGCUUAACACAUGCAAGUCGAACGGAAAGGCCCUGCUUUUGUGGGGUGCUCGAGUGGCGAACGGGUGAGUAACACGUGAGUAACCUGCCCUUGACUUUGGGAUAACUUCAGGAAACUGGGGCUAAUACCGGAUAGGAGCUCCUGCUGCAUGGUGGGGGUUGGAAAGUUUCGGCGGUUGGGGAUGGACUCGCGGCUUAUCAGCUUGUUGGUGGGGUAGUGGCUUACCAAGGCUUUGACGGGUAGCCGGCCUGAGAGGGUGACCGGCCACAUUGGGACUGAGAUACGGCCCAGACUCCUACGGGAGGCAGCAGUGGGGAAUACUGCACAAUGGGCGGAAGCCUGAUGCAGCAACGCCGCGUGCGGGAUGACGGCCUUCGGGUUGUAAACCGCUUUCGCCUGUGACGAAGCGUGAGUGACGGUAAUGGGUAAAGAAGCACCGGCUAACUACGUGCCAGCAGCCGCGGUGAUACGUAGGGUGCGAGCGUUGUCCGGAUUUAUUGGGCGUAAAGGGCUCGUAGGUGGUUGAUCGCGUCGGAAGUGUAAUCUUGGGGCUUAACCCUGAGCGUGCUUUCGAUACGGGUUGACUUGAGGAAGGUAGGGGAGAAUGGAAUUCCUGGUGGAGCGGUGGAAUGCGCAGAUAUCAGGAGGAACACCAGUGGCGAAGGCGGUUCUCUGGGCCUUUCCUGACGCUGAGGGGCGAAAGCGUGGGGAGCGAACAGGCUUAGAUACCCUGGUAGUCCACGCUGUAAACGGUGGGUACUAGGUGUGGGGUCCAUUCCACGGGUUCCGUGCCGUAGCUAACGCUUUAAGUACCCCGCCUGGGGAGUACGGCCGCAAGGCUAAAACUCAAAGGAAUUGACGGGGCCCCGCACAAGCGGCGGAGCAUGCGGAUUAAUUCGAUGCAACGCGUAGAACCUUACCUGGGUUUGACAUGGAUCGGGAGUGCUCAGAGAUGGGUGUGCCUCUUUUGGGGUCGGUUCACAGGUGGUGCAUGGCUGUCGUCAGCUCGUGUCGUGAGAUGUUGGGUUAAGUCCCGCAACGAGCGCAACCCUUGUUCACUGUUGCCAGCACGUUAUGGUGGGGACUCAGUGGAGACCGCCGGGGUCAACUCGGAGGAAGGUGGGGAUGACGUCAAGUCAUCAUGCCCCUUAUGUCCGGGGCUUCACGCAUGCUACAAUGGCUGGUACAGAGAGUGGCGAGCCUGUGAGGGUGAGCGAAUCUCGGAAAGCCGGUCUCAGUUCGGAUUGGGGUCUGCAACUCGACCUCAUGAAGUCGGAGUCGCUAGUAAUCGCAGAUCAGCAACGCUGCGGUGAAUACGUUCCCGGG
Molecule: ribosomal RNA, 1343 nt
Filed under: uncultured bacterium
Lineage: Bacteria
Description: 16S ribosomal RNA
Rfam family: Bacterial small subunit ribosomal RNA
Source: RNAcentral